UGAUUAUGACGUACUUGUACUGAUUGAGAUUUUAACACGAAGUGAGUGGCGAACGGGUGAGUAACACGUGGGUAACCUGCCCAGAAGUAGGGGAUAACACCUGGAAACAGAUGCUAAUACCGUAUAACAGAGAAAACCGCAUGGUUUUCUUUUAAAAGAUGGCUCUGCUAUCACUUCUGGAUGGACCCGCGGCGUAUUAGCUAGUUGGUGAGGUAAAGGCUCACCAAGGCAGUGAUACGUAGCCGACCUGAGAGGGUAAUCGGCCACAUUGGGACUGAGACACGGCCCAGACUCCUACGGGAGGCAGCAGUAGGGAAUCUUCCACAAUGGACGCAAGUCUGAUGGAGCAACGCCGCGUGAGUGAAGAAGGGUUUCGGCUCGUAAAGCUCUGUUGUUAAAGAAGAACGUGGGUAAGAGUAACUGUUUACCCAGUGACGGUAUUUAACCAGAAAGCCACGGCUAACUACGUGCCAGCAGCCGCGGUAAUACGUAGGUGGCAAGCGUUAUCCGGAUUUAUUGGGCGUAAAGCGAGCGCAGGCGGUCUUUUAAGUCUAAUGUGAAAGCCUUCGGCUCAACCGAAGAAGUGCAUUGGAAACUGGGAGACUUGAGUGCAGAAGAGGACAGUGGAACUCCAUGUGUAGCGGUGAAAUGCGUAGAUAUAUGGAAGAACACCAGUGGCGAAGGCGGCUGUCUGGUCUGCAACUGACGCUGAGGCUCGAAAGCAUGGGUAGCGAACAGGAUUAGAUACCCUGGUAGUCCAUGCCGUAAACGAUGAUUACUAAGUGUUGGGAGGGUUUCCGCCCUUCAGUGCUGCAGCUAACGCAUUAAGUAAUCCGCCUGGGGAGUACGACCGCAAGGUUGAAACUCAAAAGAAUUGACGGGGGCCCGCACAAGCGGUGGAGCAUGUGGUUUAAUUCGAAGCUACGCGAAGAACCUUACCAGGUCUUGACAUCUUCUGACAGUCUAAGAAAAUUAGAGGUUCCCUUCGGGGACAGAAUGA
Molecule: ribosomal RNA, 1000 nt
Filed under: Pediococcus pentosaceus
Lineage: Bacteria; Bacillati; Bacillota; Bacilli; Lactobacillales; Lactobacillaceae
Description: bacterial SSU rRNA
Rfam family: Bacterial small subunit ribosomal RNA
Source: RNAcentral